CACAUGGGUCAAUGUCAAGAGAAAACAGCCCAGCCACUGAGGCAGAAGAGGUGGAAACCCCUUGUACUAGUAGGGCUAUAGACAAUAUACGUAAUAUAUUUAAACAUACAUAUGCUUGAACUCAGUAAUUUGCAUAACCUAGCCAGAUUAAAAAAUCUUUGAUAUGCACGCAGAUUUUUAUAAAAGUAUAUUUGUCAUAAGAAGAAAAUCUGAAACACCCAGUAAGAGGGAAAUUUUUAUAUAAUUUAAAUACAUUCACACAUUGAAAUAAUGCAUUUUGAAGAUUAUGCUUAUAGAGAGUGAUAUUAAUAGCUGGAGGGAAUUAUGAUUAUAUAGUGUUAUGAGAAAUCAUGAUAUAAAACUGAUCAACAAUAUGAUUUCAAUUAAACAGACAUAUAUAGGUAGAGAUUUAUGAAUAAAAAUAAUGACUAGGAAAAGAUACUUGUCUCUAACGAGUGGUAUCUUAGUUCUCAUUAAUAUUUAGGCGAAAUUAUGAGGGUGCUUUAAAAAAAUCUUAAAAUGUCACUUCUUUGUGUUCUGGCAGAAUUAUAUAUUUUUUAUUUCUAUGAAACAUUUGAGAAAAUAACUUUUAAAGUCUUUGAAAAGUCUUGUUGCAGUAUGUCUUUUUUUCCAACUCAAGGUUUCCAGUAUGUUAGCUGACAGUCCCUUGCACAGAUCUAACCUAUUGUUGGAUGGCACAAUGGGGUUUUGGACCAGUAGUUUCCUCUCACUGGUUGUACAUCCCUCUGUUAUGGUGAGAAUCGUUCCAGAAUGCCUUACAUUUCAGUCAUUUCCAACCAGUCUGGAAUUGACUUGUAUGAUUCCUUAAUAUGUAAUACCUCUGCUGGCUUUCACUUUAAUUCCUUUCCCUGUCCUUUUAUUGUACUUGAGUAGAGAUAACAAACUAGGACAGCUCCCAAAUAGCUUCUUAAUUCAUUGCAGUCUUGUUUACUCUGCUUCCUUCAUCAAUGAUUUAUAUUUCCUCAAGAGGAUAGAACUGCUUAGGCUGCAAUGGGCCUGAUGAUAACUUCCUUUAGAAGACAUAUUCAUGUAAAAUAGUUAGUUAUGUCCCUGAAAAGUUUUUUUUUUUUUUCAAGUUUAAUCACACAGCGAUGCUCUUAUCUUAAAACUAGAUUCCCUUAUUUUGCUGAAUUGGACUCCUACUGGGAAAUACAGCUGGUAAAAUGGUAAAAUCACAUGAGUUUAAAUUUGUAGCCUAGAAGUUUUUCUCAAUUCCUCUUUUCUUUCUUUUUCUUUUCUUUUUUGCUUUCCAGGGCCGCACCUGGCGUAUGAAGAUUCCCAGGCUAGGCGUCCAAUCAGAGCUUCAGCUGCUGGCUUACACUAUAGCCACAGCAACAUCAGUUCCGAGCCAUGUCUGUGACCUACACCACAGCUCAUAGCAAUGCCGCAUCCUUUAACCCACUUAGUGAGGCCAGGGAUCGAAUCUGCAUCCUCAUGGAUGCUAGUCAGAUUCCUUUCUGCUGAGCCAUGAUGGGAACUCCUCAAUUCCUUCUUUUCUAGAUGAAGAGGAAAUCUCUUAAUUUUUCUAUUGUUAACAUAGAAGCAAAAUGCAUGACCUGUAAGAAGGAAACUCUAGUUAAACUACUUGAAACUGCAAACUAUAAUUUGAAACUUGGAAUUCCAAUUGUAAGGCUCUUUGGAUACAUAUUUUAAAUGACUUACACUACAUGGCUUUCCAUUGCCUCCUGUGAAAUUAGGGAUCCCUAACUUCAUAGCAUUCCUGAAAAAUUAAAUAAACUGUUUCAGGCAAUAUGUCUGACACGAUAUUAAGCUUUAACUAAAUGUGAGUUAUUUUCCUAAUAUAUAUUAGAAACUAUCAUGUAUGAUACUCUUGAGAAAAAAAUAUUCUGUGGUAUAAGAAUUCUUCAAGUUGUAAGCAUCAGACCAGGAACUUGGUAAGGCUGUAGGAACAUGCAGGAGAACUAAUGAAGGAUAAUAGAGUUAAGAGGAGUAAAUUUCAUGCAAGGUAACUUCUAAUCAAUAAUAAUAAUGAUGCCUAUUCAUUCCAUACUUUUCAAAGGCUGUGAGUAUGUGUUGAAAUUACUAUAUCAUUUCUGUGCUAUUAGAGUAUAAAAAUAAAUAAGAUAUAACUUUCACUGCCUCAGUGAAUCUUACAUUCUAGACAGAAUGGAGACAAGCAUAAAACAUAAGUAGACAAAAAAAAUGAAUUAAAAAUAAAUGGUUUAUCUUAGAGGUAAUGAAGAAAACAUGAGUUGAGAAACCCUUUUAUGUUGAAGAAAACAGGGAAAGCAAAUGGUCAGAGGUAAUUCUAUUUAAAUGUGUUAAAUCAUUAACCGUACAAUCAUGUUCUUAGCCCCAUUCCCUAGAUAAUAAUGAAAUAACCUAGUUCAUGUGCAUCUUUUUUUUGAUAGGCAAGAAAUAGAUUUAUUAAGAUAGGAUGCUUAUAAGAGAUGCAAGUGCACAGGAAAGGAGGCCCUGCCCAUGUGUAUCUUUAAUCUACAAAUCCAUAAGAGGGUGCUGAGAUUGUUGUGAGUUUCAGAUAUCAUGUUUUAUUGAUGAUGUAGCUAUUGAAUCUCAGAGAUAAAAUCAGAAAACUUGGAAGAUUGCUGGGACAGUUUUCUGACUAUGCUAAAAAUCCUUUAUGGGACUAAUUAACACAUUCAUUUGUAUUUUCCAUUCAUUUAUUUAGUAGACCUUCAGUAUGCAUACUUUGUUUUAUACACCAUGUGUGUUUUAAAGAAGUUUUUUUUAUUUUGUUUCAUUUUGUUUUAUUCUUUUUACAGCCACAUCUGCAGCAUAUGGAGCUCUCUGGGCUAUGGAUCUAACUGAGCUGCAGCUGCACGCUUACUACGCAGCCUCAGCAAUACCAGAUCUGAGCCACAUCUGCAACUUACAUGGCAGCUUAUGGCAACACCAGAUCCUUAACCCACUGAAGGAAGCCAGGAAUUGAACCUGGAUCCUCAAGGACACUAUGUCGGUUUCUUAACUCACUGGGCCACAAUGAACUCUGAGAAGUUUUAAAGAUGAACAUGAAAUAAUUAUUUGAAAGAUCUCAUGGUUUAUUAACAGGAAAAACAUAGCUUUGCAUAAUACAAAUAAAAUAAAAUGAAGAUAUAUCCAUCAUGAAAUAGGAGCCUGGUUGUAGUUCUGCAGGCAUUUAGUAGGAUGGGAUUUAACCCUGAAAUUUUAUCAUUGAGGAGGAAAUACUUUUCCUCUAUCAUCUGGUAUUUUUGAUUAGGGACCUGCAAAUAAACUGACAAAAGACAGCUUUUCCAAUUAUCCAGAGGAAAAAACAGGUUUAAUCAUGUACAUAUACAUUAGUGUUCUCAAAAAACCUGACUUAAGAAGGCAGCUAAAAUUUAAGGUUUAUAUGCCAUCUUAAAAAAAAAAAAUUGGAAUAUAGGUGACUUACAAAACUAUGUUAACUUCAGGUGUCAGCAAAGUGUAUGACCACAAUAAGGGGAUAGGGAGGGACAUGGCUGAACUUCUAGGGGAACAAAUGGUUUCUUAGAAGUGGGGAGAUAGGGCCCUUAUGGAAAAAGAAUCUGCUUUUUGGAAAGAUUAAUAGGACAUUAGGAUAGUGGAUGGGAGACAUAGUUUUGUGACAAUGUCUAUUUGGGUGUGGUGUUGACUUCUUUUCUCUAAAGUUAGCAUUGCUCCCUAGGGGAUUUAUGACAAGUGAGUUUUUUUGGGGAGGAUCUGCUUUUAGGCAAUUAAGGAAUUCCGGAACUCACGUGCAUAUACAUAUAUAUCACAAUAUAUAUAUUCUUAUAUAUAUUGUGCCACAGCAGUUUAUUCUAGACUCCUUCACUACUUUUAAGAAUAGAAUUUGCAGGUUAAAUUCAAAAGAGAAGGGGAAGAUUAUAAAGAGAUGAUGUAUAGUGCUAAAAUCAGUUUAAUUUUGGGAGUUCCCGUCGUGGCGCAGUGGUUAACGAAUCCGACUAGGAACCAUGAGGUUGCGGGUUCGGUCCCUGCGCUUGCUCAGUGGGUUAACGAUCCGGCGUUGCCGUGAGCUGUGGUGUAGGUUGCAGACGCGGCUCGGAUCCCGCGUUGCUGUGGCUCUGGCGUAGGCCGGUGGCUACAGCUCCGAUUCGACCCCUAGCCUGGGAACCUCCAUAUGCCGCGGGAGCGGCCCAAGAAAUAGCAACAACAACAACAACAACAACAACAACAACAAAAAAAAAGACAAAAAGAUAAAAUCAGUUUAAUUUUACUUGAUCAGAGAAAAGGGUUCCAUAUACUGUUAAAGAAAACCAGAGCUGAACAGGAGUUCAAAUGGGAAAAACAAAUUUUAUUUAGGAACUACUGCAAUAGAAGGAAGGACUCCUCAGUAUAGAAUUGGGCUCAAUUCCAAAUACAAGAAGGAUAAAUGGGGAUCUAUCCAACGAUGGAGGAGGGUCAGAAAAGAAAAAUUUCUAAGAGGGUAUACAAGGACCUGGCAAUCCUGGUUAAACUGACUUGACACAUUUCUUUCUAAAGGUAGGUCAAGGUGAUCAUGUACCAAGGGUCGGAGAUAAGGUAUUUCAUUUGAUACCAAGGAAAAUUAGAUACGAAUUGAUGGGGGGGGGUCUUGCUAACUGACUUAGUAGUAUUUUUGCUAAAAGUGAAUAAUGCAAAAACAUCUUGGCAUAAUUGAAAAGUGGGCUCAGAGGAGCCUGACUUAAGUUUGGUUAAGGAAAGUGUCUUUGUCAGUAAGAUCGUAGUGAGUUGGGGAGAAACUCAUAGGGAUAGAGUAGGAUAGACAAAGAGGUAGUUUUAGACAUCCUACUAAAGGAUUAGAGUUAUGAGAGGGAACUUUAGGAGACCACUGUCAGUUACUGAUUCCUCAGGAGAGCUACUGGAACAUUAUGAAAGGGAGCAGUAUUAAGCAGUGUUGCUUAACACUGAGGUAUAUGGAAUGAUUGGCCAAUGGGGACCUGCUGUAUAGCAUAGAUAACUCUACCCAAUAUUCUGUGAUCAUCUAUGUGGGAAGAGAAUAUAUACAAAUGUACAUUUGUACAUGUAUAACUGAAUCACUUGGUUGUACAGCAGAAAAUAUCACAACCUUAUAAAUGAACUAUACU
Molecule: long non-coding RNA, 5045 nt
Filed under: Sus scrofa (pig)
Lineage: Eukaryota; Metazoa; Chordata; Mammalia; Artiodactyla; Suidae
Description: lncRNA (ENSSSCG00000058101.1)
Source: RNAcentral